RNAcentral lists this non-coding RNA (45 nucleotides) under Schistosoma margrebowiei. Lineage: Eukaryota; Metazoa; Platyhelminthes; Trematoda; Strigeidida; Schistosomatidae. The record is from RNAcentral.
AUCCAGCUGACGAGUCCCAAAUGGGACGAAACAUGCGUAUUGGAU